AUUGAACGCUGGCGGCAGGCCUAACACAUGCAAGUCGAACGGUAACACGAUACAUCUUUGUGUUUCUCUGACGAGUGGCGGGCGAGUGAGUCAUGUCUGGCCUACUCUCUGAUGUGGGGGGACAUCUACUAGAAACGGUAGCUACUACCGCAUAACGUCGCAAGAACAGUGAGGGGGGGAUUGUGGCCUCUUGCGCGCAUGUACGCGCAGAUGGUCUGCGCUAGUAGGUGGGGUAGCGGCUCCCCUAGGCGACGAUCCGUAGCUGGUGUGAGAGGAUGAUCAGCCACACGAGAACUGGACCACGGUCCAGGCUCCUGCGGGAGGCAGCAGUGGGGAAUAUUGGACAAUGGGCGCAAGCCUGAUGCAGCCAGGCCGCGUGUGUGAAGAAGGCCUUCGGGUUGUAAAGACCUUUUAGCGGGGAGGAAGCGCGUACAGUUAAUACCAAGCCUGAGUGACGGUACCCGGAGAAGAAGCACCGGCUAACUACGUG
Molecule: ribosomal RNA, 490 nt
Filed under: uncultured bacterium
Lineage: Bacteria
Description: partial 16S ribosomal RNA
Rfam family: Bacterial small subunit ribosomal RNA
Source: RNAcentral